GACGAACGCUGGCGGCGUGCUUAACACAUGCAAGUCGAACGGUAAGGCCCUGCUUUUGUGGGGUGCUCGAGUGGCGAACGGGUGAGUAACACGUGAGUAACCUGCCCUUGACUUUGGGAUAACUUCAGGAAACUGGGGCUAAUACCGGAUAGGAGCUCCUGCUGCAUGGUGGGGGUUGGAAAGUUUCGGCGGUUGGGGAUGGACUCGCGGCUUAUCAGCUUGUUGGUGGGGUAGUGGCUUACCAAGGCUUUGACGGGUAGCCGGCCUGAGAGGGUGACCGGCCACAUUGGGACUGAGAUACGGCCCAGACUCCUACGGGAGGCAGCAGUGGGGAAUAUUGCACAAUGGGCGGAAGCCUGAUGCAGCAACGCCGCGUGAGGGAUGACGGCCUUCGGGUUGUAAACCGCUUUCGCCAGUGACGAAGCGUGAGUGACGGUACUGGGUAAAGAAGCACCGGCUAACUACGUG
This 468-nucleotide ribosomal RNA is filed under the name uncultured bacterium. Its description in RNAcentral is "partial 16S ribosomal RNA". It matches the Rfam family "Bacterial small subunit ribosomal RNA", at positions 28 to 507 of the family's 1533-position model. The record is from RNAcentral.